RNAcentral lists this transfer RNA (92 nucleotides) under Alphaproteobacteria bacterium. Its description in RNAcentral is "tRNA-Lys". It matches the Rfam family "tRNA". From Rfam's summary of the family: Transfer RNA (tRNA) molecules are approximately 80 nucleotides in length. Their secondary structure includes four short double-helical elements and three loops (D, anti-codon, and T loops). Lineage: Bacteria; Pseudomonadati; Pseudomonadota; Alphaproteobacteria. The record is from RNAcentral.
ACCCGGUUAGCUCAGUUGGUAGAGCGCCAGUCUUUUAAAGCAUUUGUGCUACUGAAAACUGGUGGUCGGGGGUUCAAGUCCCUCAUCGGGUG